ACGCAGGGAGACGUGCGUGACGCGCGCGCCAUGGGGAGCAAAGCAAUCAAUCUUGGUAGCCUACGUAUAUGCGAAUAAAUUUGUUGGGUGGUGAGCGAUGAGUACGUGACGUGACAAUGACAUUCCUUUUCCUUGUGUAUCCAUGAUAGUGUUAUUACCAUGACGCAUGUAUUAUUUUGGAAGCCAAACUAUGUUUCCAUCUGUAUCAAAGAUAUACUUAUAUAUUACUAUACAAACAGAUUUAUAUAUUGCGCACAGAAUGAUGACUUGGUUCCGUUACCGUACAAGUUUUCUUUUGUGAGUGCACGUGAAACGCACAUAUAAUCAUAAGUUUAAUAUUUUGAUUAUCCAAAUUGAUUUGUCUAUCACAAUGGUUGCCACAAUAACAUCUCAAGUUUUUAUAACAUUUGGUCUAAACUAAAAUUUAUAACAAUUUAAAAGGAAUUUUUGUUUAGCAAACGCCCUUCUUUGUGGCUAGAUGUUUUCACGUCGGCAUCUCAUUGCCUCGGAAGUGUCCCUCCCAUCAUGGAUCGUUUCUUAUGUGGCACUCCUCUUUAUGCC
Molecule: long non-coding RNA, 561 nt
Filed under: Hordeum vulgare
Lineage: Eukaryota; Viridiplantae; Streptophyta; Magnoliopsida; Poales; Poaceae
Description: long non-coding RNA (HVUL_LNC002808)
Source: RNAcentral